ACCGAGACUAGAGUCACAUCCUGACAUUUCUCAUUGUUUUGGUGUGCUAUAGUCCUCGGAGAAAAAACACUUAUCUUUAUUCACUGCCUGUGGUAUUUCAUGCCUCAGUAAGUCACCGGAUCAGUAACAUCA
Molecule: small nucleolar RNA, 132 nt
Filed under: Sphenodon punctatus (tuatara)
Lineage: Eukaryota; Metazoa; Chordata; Lepidosauria; Sphenodontia; Sphenodontidae
Description: Small nucleolar RNA SNORA3/SNORA45 family (ENSSPUG00000015452.1)
Rfam family: Small nucleolar RNA SNORA3/SNORA45 family
About the family: The members of this family belong to the H/ACA class of snoRNAs which are thought to guide the sites of modification of uridines to pseudouridines. This family includes mouse snoMBI-28 and human homologues ACA3 (SNORA3) and ACA3-2 (SNORA45).
Source: Rfam by way of RNAcentral